Molecule: ribosomal RNA, 138 nt
Filed under: Grimmia pulvinata
Lineage: Eukaryota; Viridiplantae; Streptophyta; Bryopsida; Grimmiales; Grimmiaceae
Also listed under: 1 other name
Description: partial 5.8S ribosomal RNA
Rfam family: 5.8S ribosomal RNA
About the family: 5.8S ribosomal RNA (5.8S rRNA) is a component of the large subunit of the eukaryotic ribosome. It is transcribed by RNA polymerase I as part of the 45S precursor that also contains 18S and 28S rRNA.
Source: RNAcentral
AUAUCUUGGCUCCUGCAACGAUGAAGAACGCAGCGAAAUGCGAUACGUAGUGUGAAUUGCAGAAUUCCGCGAAUCAUCGAGUCUUUGAACGCAAGUUGCGCCCGAGGCUUGCCCUCGGACAUUUCUGUCAGAGCGUCA